This 880-nucleotide ribosomal RNA is filed under the name uncultured bacterium. Its description in RNAcentral is "bacterial SSU rRNA". It matches the Rfam family "Bacterial small subunit ribosomal RNA", at positions 59 to 906 of the family's 1533-position model. The record is from RNAcentral.
CAGUCGAGCGAGCGGAACCACAGAUUUACUUCGGUAAUGACGUUGGGAAAGCGAGCGGCGGAUGGGUGAGUAACACGUGGGGAACCUGCCCCUAAGUCUGGGAUACCAUUUGGAAACAGGUGCUAAUACCGGAUAAUAAAGCAGAUCGCAUGAUCAGCUUUUGAAAGGCGGCGUAAGCUGUCGCUAAGGGAUGGCCCCGCGGUGCAUUAGCUAGUUGGUAAGGUAACGGCUUACCAAGGCGACGAUGCAUAGCCGAGUUGAGAGACUGAUCGGCCACAUUGGGACUGAGACACGGCCCAAACUCCUACGGGAGGCAGCAGUAGGGAAUCUUCCACAAUGGACGCAAGUCUGAUGGAGCAACGCCGCGUGAGUGAAGAAGGUUUUCGGAUCGUAAAGCUCUGUUGUUGGUGAAGAAGGAUAGAGGUAGUAACUGGCCUUUAUUUGACGGUAAUCAACCAGAAAGUCACGGCUAACUACGUGCCAGCAGCCGCGGUGAUACGUAGGUGGCAAGCGUUGUCCGGAUUUAUUGGGCGUAAAGCGAGCGCAGGCGGAAAAAUAAGUCUAAUGUGAAAGCCCUCGGCUUAACCGAGGAACUGCAUCGGAAACUGUUUUUCUUGAGUGCAGAAGAGGAGAGUGGAACUCCAUGUGUAGCGGUGGAAUGCGUAGAUAUAUGGAAGAACACCAGUGGCGAAGGCGGCUCUCUGGUCUGCAACUGACGCUGAGGCUCGAAAGCAUGGGUAGCGAACAGGAUUAGAUACCCUGGUAGUCCAUGCCGUAAACGAUGAGUGCUAAGUGUUGGGAGGUUUCCGCCUCUCAGUGCUGCAGCUAACGCAUUAAGCACUCCGCCUGGGGAGUACGACCGCAAGGUUGAAACUCAAAG